RNAcentral lists this unclassified non-coding RNA (422 nucleotides) under soil metagenome. RNAcentral's name for it is "partial contains 5.8S ribosomal RNA, internal transcribed spacer 2, and large subunit ribosomal RNA". The stretch from base 4 to 121 matches the Rfam family "5.8S ribosomal RNA", at positions 37 to 154 of the family's 154-position model. The record is from RNAcentral.
GAUUGAAGAACGCAGCGAAAUGCGAUACGUAAUGUGAAUUGCAGAAUUCAGUGAAUCAUCGAAUCUUUGAACGCAUAUUGCGCUCUUUGGUAUUCCGAAGAGCAUGCUUGUUUGAGUAUCAGUAAACACCUCAACCUCUUCUUGAUUUUUCAAAAGGAGGGUGGACUUGAGCUAUCCCAACAACCUUUACCGGUCGGCGGGCGGCUUGAAAUGCAGGUGCAGCUGGACUUUUAUCUGAGCUAAAAGCAUAUCUAUUUAGUCCUCGUCAAACAGGAUUAUUACUUUUGCUGCAGCUAACAUAAAGGAUAAUUGUCCUCUUUGCUGACUGAUGCAGGAUUUUACGACACUUUAUGUGUUGUUCAACUCGAUCUCAAAUCAAGUAAGACUACCCGCUGAACUUAAGCAUAUCAAUAAGCGGAGGA